AAGCGGUGGAUGAUGUGGUUUAAUUCGAUGCAACGCGAAAACCUUACCCACCUUUGACAUGUACGGAACCCUUUAGAGAUAGAGGGGUGCUCGAAAGAGAGCCGUAACACAGGUGCUGCAUGGCUGUCGUCAGCUCGUGUCGUGAGAUGUUGGGUUAAGUCCCGCAACGAGCGCAACCCUUGUCAUUAGUUGCUACAUUCAGUUGGGCACCUAUAGAGACUGCCGGUGACAAGCCGGAGGAAGGUGGGGAUGACGUCAAGUCCUCAUGGCCCUUAUAGGUGGGGCUACACACGUCAUACAAUGGCUGGUACAAAGGGUUGCCAACCCGCGAGGGGGAGCUAAUCCCAUAAAGCCAGUCGUAGUCCGGAUCGUAGUCUGCAACUCGACUACGUGAAGUCGGAAUCGCUAGUAAUCGUGGAUCAGAAUGUCACGGUGAAUACGUUCCCGGGUCUU
RNAcentral lists this ribosomal RNA (453 nucleotides) under uncultured Rhodoferax sp. RNAcentral describes it as "bacterial SSU rRNA". It matches the Rfam family "Bacterial small subunit ribosomal RNA", at positions 927 to 1382 of the family's 1533-position model. Lineage: Bacteria; Pseudomonadati; Pseudomonadota; Betaproteobacteria; Burkholderiales; Comamonadaceae. The record is from RNAcentral.